Molecule: ribosomal RNA, 966 nt
Filed under: Triticum aestivum (bread wheat)
Lineage: Eukaryota; Viridiplantae; Streptophyta; Magnoliopsida; Poales; Poaceae
Description: partial small subunit ribosomal RNA
Source: RNAcentral
AUGUCUGAAAACACCCAGGGCAGUGUCCGGCGGGCCUUUGGAGACCUGACAAAUGUCCUUGGCAAGCGGCCAGCCUCAUGCGAUCUGGAAAAGAAUGCAGGUGGAGUCAAGAUGAGUCGGGUUGAAAAGGUCGUUGACCCUAGGAAAGAGUCUGAUGAAAAGGCAAAGGCCAAUGCUGGGGCAUCAGGAAACCUUGUUGAAGUUUUGGUCGAUGGUAUUGGCAAAGAGGACUUCGCAAGGACUUCAAUUUUCCGUGGAGCCAAGGUUCAGCACAUGGCUGCUCAGGCAGCUGGGCUACGAUCCAAGGAUGAUGAUGAUGUGAGGAAUCGUUGUGUAUCAUUGGAUUCUUCUGGCAUCAACGACAAGGCAGAGUCUUCCUUGGAAUCAGAGGGUGGCUGUGAAGCGGAAGAUGAUGAAGACACUGAUAGUGAGUUGCUGCCAUAUGCUAGUGAGGCUAGUAAGAUUGUAAUUAAUGAUAAGACUAAUGAGGGUGAAUGUCUGACUCAAGAGGAGAUGGUUGUAUCACCAGGAAAUCAGAAUCCACAGUCUUCGUUUGACGCUACAGCUCGUGAUGACAUGACAUGUACAAAUGUCCAGCAUCCUCCAAUGGGUGUUGGUGGCUUUGAAAAAUCAUGUGCUACAAAGUCUUGCACUUGCACUUUCUGUCUUAAGGCUGCUUUUAUGUGGACUGAUCUCCAUUAUCAGGAUGCAAGAAGCCGGCUUGGUGCAUUGAAGAAGAGCAUAAAGUUUGCUAGAUCGCUAGAGGCAAAGAGGCAAGGAAAUGAAUUCAAUGCAGACAGAUACUCGAAAAGAGCUGCAGAGAUGGGAUUCGAACUAUCUCAACAGCAGAGAUCACUCUUUCUUCAUACUGAAAAUGCCCUUGUUCGUGAAUCUGCCCAGCUCCAUUCAGCCGUCGUUAAGUUAAAGGACUUGAGAGACAACUGCAAGAAAGAUCUGAAGAUCUGA